GAUUAAUCAGUAUGCAUAUACAUUUAUUUCCUGGAAAAAAAAAUAAAAAGAUUGGGAAGAUUCACUGAUGUUAGAAAAUGUAAAGUAUUCAAGCAAGAUAACUGAUUAGACAUGUAAAAGCAGUCUUUAUACUAAAUAAUAAAAUAUAUAUUAAAUAUGCU
Molecule: long non-coding RNA, 161 nt
Organism: Stegodyphus dumicola
Lineage: Eukaryota; Metazoa; Arthropoda; Arachnida; Araneae; Eresidae
Gene: cype
Source: RefSeq, a predicted model, not a curated record